RNAcentral lists this non-coding RNA (31 nucleotides) under Mus musculus (house mouse). Lineage: Eukaryota; Metazoa; Chordata; Mammalia; Rodentia; Muridae. The record is from RNAcentral.
UGGGAGCAUUAAUAAUUCCUUCCUUGCUUGC